AUGUCUGGGCAAACUUCUUUAGGUCUCUGCUAGUUGAUUAACUUGUAGAAGCUAAAAUCAACUGACAAAUUCAAUUAUACAUCCAAAUUAUAUUUCCAAACUGACUUAAUUUUUUUUAAGUGAUGAAUGCACCUUAAGGGAAAAAUUCCAUUAAAAUAUGAACUUUCUUGUACAGCAGAAAUUAAGUCUCAGCACGUACAGGAUGCCUGUGAACCCAGGCUUCCCAAUUUCUGUAGCUUCACAGGAUUGGUUUAAUGAACAGACAUGUCUGGCUUACAGGCCAACCAUAAGACAAUUUGCUGUCUAGGAAGGGAAGAAAGCUUAUAUUAGAAAGUGAAAAGAAUAGCUCUGAGAACAUAGUGAGACUCUUCUGAGACUCCACACUAGCAAUGGAGACCAUAAACAGAGAGCACUGUUUGUCAACAAACUCUCUCUCAAGGUACAGAAUUUGUUAAUUGACUGCCUGGUUGGAGUAAUUUAGAGAGAAGCCACUGCUGAUUGCACAAGGCAUUUCCUACUUAUACAGUUGCAGAGUGAUAGAUAAUGUGUUACUUAACAUCUGCCCCUCUGUAGACUUCCUGUACCAUAGACAGAGAAGAGAGAGCAGUGUUCCUCAUGUGCUCUCCUAUUAGAGUGUGAACCACAGUCCGCAGCUGAACUGCAAAUCUCAAUUUUUAUGGAAUAACUUGGAACCUGGACUGCUAUAUAAAAAUUGAUUUUUACACAAAAUGGAAAUUAGCCAUUUUUUCCUACAAAUGCUAUUGAAAAAAAUAGUCUGUUUGAGUGAUAUAAGAUUAUAAAGCAUACUGACCUUUCUCUCUUUUGUUCUUUACUGAUAAAUUAGCAAGACAUAAAACGUUCCAUAAAUAUUACAUUUAAACUCUAAGUGCAAUUUAUCUAAAUCUUUUUUUUUACUAAUAAUAUAUUAUCUAAAUCUUGUUUUGUUUUGUUUUGUUUGUUUUUUGUUUUUUUGUUUUUUAAGACAGGGUUUUUCUGUGUAGCCUGGCUGUUCUGGAACUCACUCUGUAGACCAGGCUAGCCACAAACUCAGAAAUCCACCUGCCUCCGCCUCCCAAGUUCUGGGGUUAAAGGCAUGCAUCACCACUGCCCAGGCUAAAUCUUUUUUUUUUUUUUGACUAGUAAUCAUUUUCAUUGUCAAAAAUGACAUGGUAGAUUAAAAUUUCAUAGUAUUAAUAGAUUUUUCUGUAUUUCAGUUUAUUACACAUUAUUAUUUAAAUGUUACCUGUAUUGUUUAAUUAUUGAAAUUGACUCAUAGAAGGAGUCCACUCAACUAGACAUCCUUAAGAUAGCUCUAACACAAGUCAAAAGACUUGGAAAAUUUAAUUUCUUCCUAAGUGGCAUCUUUGAGCAUUCUGCUAGGUUGUUGCAGAUAAAAGAGAUAUUAAAAAUGUAAAAACAAAACACAGCAAGUGUGGUGAGACUAGGAUUAAGUCCUGGACUCCAUAGCCAAAGGUUUCUAAAUUUCUUCAAUGGAGAAUACUUAUCAUAGAAGUAUUAUUAAAGGAACAAUGAACAAGAAUUGAUGUGAGAAUGAUCAUAGCUCAGUCCCAAUGAUAAUAGAUUAAAAGUCGGCCCCACGAACCAACCAGUGGGUGGAUGAACUUCAUGAGGUACAUGCAUCUGAUAACUUAUAUGGAAAGAAAAGAAAUGAAUUGUUCACAUAGUCUACAACAUAAAGAAAUCUUUGCAGGGGCAAAGGAUCAUUUUAUGAUUAUAAUUUCAUGAACUACACAGCAGAGAAAAUCCAUAGAGAUGGAAGGUAGCUAUGUAGUUGUCAGGAUUUGAGAAUUUGGACUGUCAGAUGGGAAGCAACUUGUAUUAGGCAUGAGGUUUCUUCUCCAAGCGAUAAAAAUACCUUAUACAUAGAUGUAGAUUGCUGUAACGAUUGCACAAUUGUGGCCACACAAAGAACGAUCAGAUUGUGCCUUUAAAGAGGGCGAAUUUUGACCAUGCAAAUUAUGCCUUAACAAGAUGUUGAAAAAGACAAUGUUAAAUGAUUCAGUCACUAAAUGUCACAGUGAUCCUCUAUUCCCCUUCAUUUUAAGACAUUGAAUAAAUGGUCCUUAAAUACAAAAUCAGGCAAUUUGGAUAUUUGUUUGCUGAGGGAUCACAUUUGUUCUAGAGUUCUAAGAGAAGCUUUUCAUUUCCUUUUUUUUUUUAACAUAUUCUCUUACUGCAGUUUGAGACAUUAUCAUGAGUUGAGUAAACUAAAAAUCAGUUUUAAUUUUACAUUCUUAUAAAGGUGCACACUUGUGUGUGUGUGCUUCUCUCUGUGUGUAGGCUUCUGUGUGUAAAUGAACCAUGUACAUGCAGAAGGUAGAGGUCAAAAGACAACUUGUGGGAGUUGGCACUUCUCUUUCACUUUGUGGGUCUCUGGGGUCAAAGUGCAGUCAUCAAGCUUAUAGUCAAUUGUUUUCACUUGAGCCAUCUUACUUAGUGGCCAUAGAUAUUUGCUUUUAAAUAUAAUGUGGCAGAAAUAGUGCUAUAAUUUUCAAGGAAGGUUUAUUGAGUCUCUAAACUUACAUCCACUUAUUCUUAAUGUUAUUAUAGUUACUGGCAUUAUCAUUCUGGAAUUGUUUUUUAAAAGGUUGUGAUGAUCCCUCUUGAGAACUGAUAAUAAGUAUUUGAAUCUUAAUUUGCAUUUUGAGCUAUGCCCAAAUGUAUUUGAUUUCAAAGAUGUAAUCAUGUUGAGCUGUGUCUUUGAGAUUCAAAGGCCAAUAUCUCUCAGGCUUUACUCAAAAGAGGACUUCAAAUUAUUUUGAGUAGUAGCUAUGAAGUUAAUUUGAUAUUUGACAUAUUUUCUUUCUAUAUCAAAUGUUGUCAUCUUAGAGGCUCAAUAUAGGUAGGCAGGGUAGCAGUAGUAAAUUGUAGCUAGUAUCAUAGGAACUUGUGAGCAGAGGUGGCUCUCUAAGGCCUUGCCAAAACUACAGCGAUCACAAUUGGCCACAGUAAAUGGAGCUCAAGGAGAUAAGGAAAAAGUCCAGAGACCUACUCACUACUGGAUGAAAUUAUGAACCUCAACAUUAAGAAUCUGCUUACCCUAUCAGCUGCCUGCUUAAAGAGAGGACAUUAGAUGUCAUUAAGAUUUCCAGGUAGGAAGGUUUUACCUACCUACAUGCCAUUUUCAUAUCCUUAGCAAAUCUCCUAUGCUGGAGGACAGUUUCUCAUG
RNAcentral lists this long non-coding RNA (3190 nucleotides) under Mus musculus (house mouse). RNAcentral's name for it is "long non-coding RNA chr10:31867911-31871101". Lineage: Eukaryota; Metazoa; Chordata; Mammalia; Rodentia; Muridae. The record is from RNAcentral.